Molecule: ribosomal RNA, 274 nt
Filed under: uncultured soil bacterium
Lineage: Bacteria
Description: partial 16S ribosomal RNA
Rfam family: Bacterial small subunit ribosomal RNA
Source: RNAcentral
AGAAUCAACGCUGGCGGCGUGCCUAACACAUGCAAGUCGAACGCGAAAGGGGAGCAAUCCCUGAGUAGAGUGGCAAACGGGUGAGUAACACGUGGGUGACCUGCCUUCGAGUGGGGGAUAACGUUCCGAAAGGAACGCUAAUACCGCAUGACAUCCUGCUUUUGGAGAAGCGGAGAUCAAAGCUGGGGAUUCGCAAGAACCUAGCGCUUGAAGAGGGGCCCGCGCCUGAUUAGCUAGUUGGUGGGGUAACGGCUCACCAAGGCUACGAUCAGUA